RNAcentral lists this ribosomal RNA (572 nucleotides) under uncultured Glomeromycotina. RNAcentral's name for it is "SSU rRNA". It matches the Rfam family "Eukaryotic small subunit ribosomal RNA", at positions 548 to 1114 of the family's 1831-position model. Lineage: Eukaryota; Fungi; Glomeromycota. The record is from RNAcentral.
UUGGAGGGCAAGUCUGGUGCCAGCAGCCGCGGUAAUUCCAGCUCCAAUAGCGUAUAUUAAAGUUGUUGCAGUUAAAAAGCUCGUAGUUGAAUUUCGGGAUUGACGUGAUGGUCAUGCCUUAAGGGGUAUGAACUGUCACUGCUGAUUUCUCACCUUCUGGAGAAACUUGAUGUCCUUUAUUGGGUGUCUUGCGGAUCCAGGACCUUUACCUUGAAAAAAUUAGAGUGUUUAAAGCAGGCAUUUUUGCUCGAAUACAUUGGCAUGGAAUAAUAGAAUAGGACGGCAUGGUUCUAUUUUGUUGGUUUCUAGGAUCACCGUAAUGAUUAAUAGGGAUAGUUGGGGGCAUUAGUAUUCAAUUGUCAGAGGUGAAAUUCUUGGAUUUAUUGAAGACUAACUACUGCGAAAGCAUUUGCCAAGGAUGUUUUCAUUAAUCAAGAACGAAAGUUAGGGGAUCGAGGACGAUCAGAUACCGUCGUAGUCUUAACCAUGAACUAUGCCGACUAGGAAUCAGACGAUGUUAAUUUUUUAAUGACUCGUUUGGCACCUUACGGGAAACCAAAGUGUUUGGGUUC